CAGGAAUUGACAAAUAAUAAUGUUCGGUUCAGACUCCAUUAGCAAUCGUAAUUAAUUAUGUAUAUCUAUUUAAUUUAUACAAAAUAAAGUAUUAUCAUUUAUUCAAACUUCAAUUCCAUGAUAGGAAAUAGGGUGAGGGGUCUUUACUUGAUUCAACGCCGAAAACUAGAUUGUCAUUGCGCCUACAGCCGGUCCCUGGGUUCCCUAAAUUUUUCCAACGGGAACUGAAACGCGCAUACGGUACCUACACAUGUCCCAAAUAACCCAAAAAUCAGACCCAGGGCCUACUCGGCCAAUUUCAGAAUUCCGGCACGGCGGCUCCGCCGUGCUCCGGUGACGGCUCGCUGUGGCAAUCUGCCUCGAGUUCACUGUUUUCAGCCAUUUGCGGCCGAAUUCAGCCAAACUUGCAUCUGUUCCUGUGAGAAAACACACUUAGGGCCCUCGGUGGGCCUGAAAAACGUAGAAAACCGAAACUCACCGGCGGUGGGGCCCUCUGGUGCGGUGGCUCCUCCAGUUCACGUUGCGGUUGGAUUUUUUGCUCCGGUCAACCUCGUUUGGCGGUCGAAAAUUGCUCCGGUACGGCGGCGGGUGGCGGUGGUCGGCUCCUCGGCGGCUGGUUUGUCUUCUCCGGCGAGGGGCUCUGACGACUAGGGUUAGGGUUUGGGUGCAGAUGGGGUUAUUUAUACCCAUCUGCUUUUGAUCUGAGUCGUCCAUCGCCUUUAAUCUAGACCGUCCGAUCGCGAUUAAAUAGGGAGUGAAUCUGGGCAGUUCAUCGCGAUUCAAUCUGAGCUGUCCGUGCGCGAUUCAAUCUUGGCCGUCCGUGCGCGAUGCAAUCUGGGCCGUCCUUGCGCGCUUUUGAUCUGGGCCGUCCGUGCGCGCGGGAACGGAUCUUAGCUGUUCGAUCGCGCGCACGCGAAUCACCCACGUGGCUCCUUCCCGCGUGGCCUCCCGCGUCAGCGUCUCUACUACCUGGCGCGUCCUGAUUGGUCGGGGCAGCUGACGUGGCACAAUUUUUCUAAAUUGCGUUUUGACCUUCAGUUUUCGAUUUUUCUUUCAAAAAUACUCACAGAACCCAAAUUUUCACCUAUUUUCUCCAAAAUUGUUUUCAAUUAAACCC
RNAcentral lists this long non-coding RNA (1117 nucleotides) under Carica papaya (papaya). Its description in RNAcentral is "long non-coding RNA (CPAP_LNC014295)". Lineage: Eukaryota; Viridiplantae; Streptophyta; Magnoliopsida; Brassicales; Caricaceae. The record is from RNAcentral.